AGAGCAUAUACGCCAAUGACUAGAACCGCCCAAUCCUACGGAGCACCAGUGGGAAUUGGACCAUUGGGCACCUGAUCCAGGCAUGCGCUUCCGAAGAAGCUUCGGGUGUAAACCGCUUUAGCGGGAGAAAGGCACCCUUAAUACGGGGUGUUCUGACGGUACUGGCGGAAUAAGCACGGCUAACUACGUGCCAGCAGCCGCGGUAAUACGUAGGGUGCGAGCGUAAUCGGAAUUACUGGGCGUAAAGCGUGCGCAGGCGGUUCGUUAAGUUCGAUGUGAAAGCCCCGGGCUCAACCUGGGAACUGCAUUGGAAACUGGCGAGCUUGAGUGUGGCAGAGGGGGGUGGAAUUCCGCGUGUAGCAGUGAAAUGCGUAGAGAUGCGGAGGAACACCGAUGGCGAAGGCAGCCCCCUGGGCCAACACUGACGCUCAGGCACGAAAGCGUGGGGAGCAAACAGGAUUAGAUACCCUGGUAGUCCACGCCCUAAACGAUGCUCACUAGGUGUUGGGGAAGCGAUUCCUUGGUACCGUAGCUAACGCGUGAAGUGAGCCGCCUGGGGAGUACGGCCGCAAGGUUAAAACUCAAAGGAAUUGACGGGGACCCGCACAAGCGGUGGAUGAUGUGGAUUAAUUCGAUGCAACGCGAAAAACCUUACCCACCU
This 661-nucleotide ribosomal RNA is filed under the name uncultured bacterium. RNAcentral's name for it is "bacterial SSU rRNA". It matches the Rfam family "Bacterial small subunit ribosomal RNA", at positions 295 to 980 of the family's 1533-position model. The record is from RNAcentral.